RNAcentral lists this unclassified non-coding RNA (331 nucleotides) under soil metagenome. Its description in RNAcentral is "partial contains 5.8S ribosomal RNA, internal transcribed spacer 2, and large subunit ribosomal RNA". The stretch from base 2 to 119 matches the Rfam family "5.8S ribosomal RNA", at positions 37 to 154 of the family's 154-position model. The record is from RNAcentral.
GUGAAGAACGUAGCAAAAUGCGAUAAGUAAUGUGAAUUGCAGAAUUCAGUGAAUCAUCGAAUCUUUGAACGCACAUUGCGCCCGCCAGUAUUCUGGCGGGCAUGCCUGUUCGAGCGUCAUUUCAACCCUCAAGCACAGCUUGGUGUUGGGACUCGCGUUAAUUCGCGUUCCUCAAAUUGAUUGGCGGUCACGUCGAGCUUCCAUAGCGUAGUAGUAAAACCCUCGUUACUGGUAAUCGUCGCGGCCACGCCGUUAAACCCCAACUUCUGAAUGUUGACCUCGGAUCAGGUAGGAAUACCCGCUGAACUUAAGCAUAUCAAUAAGCGGAGGA